UACAUGGGGUGCAAACGUUGCUCGGAAUUAUUGGGCGUAAGGCGCGCGUAGGCGGUUACUUAAGUUGGAUGUGAAAGCCCUCGGCUUAACUGAGGAAGUGCACCCAAAACUGAGUAGCUAGAGUACGAAAGAGGGUCGCGGAAUUCCCGGUGUAGAGGUGAAAUUCGUAGAUAUCGGGAGGAACACCGGUGGCGAAGGCGGCGACCUGGGUCGAGACUGACGCUGAGGAGCGAAAGCCAGGGGAGCAAACGGG
This 253-nucleotide ribosomal RNA is filed under the name uncultured bacterium. RNAcentral describes it as "partial 16S ribosomal RNA". It matches the Rfam family "Bacterial small subunit ribosomal RNA", at positions 524 to 776 of the family's 1533-position model. The record is from RNAcentral.